CCAGCCGAUGCCGAUUAUCAAACCAGCCGAUUAUCAGUCUGUCCCUACAGAGCACCCAAAGGGAUUAUCGGCCAAUGCUGAUUGUCGUCCAACUGAUUAUCGGCCUAUCCCUACAGAGCACCCAGAGGGAUUAUCGGCCGAUGCCGAUUAUCGACCCAGCCAAUUAUUGGUCUACACCUACAGAGCACCCAGAGGGAUUAUCGGCCAAUGCAGAUUAUCAAACCAGCCGAUUAUCAGUCUGUCCCUACAAAGCACCCAGAGGGAUUAUCGGCCAAUGCAGAUUAUCAAACCAGCCGAUUAUCAGUCUGUCCCUACAGAGCACCCAGAGGGAUUAUCGGCAGAUGCCGAUUAUCGACCCAGCCGAUUAUCGGUCUAUCCCUACAGAGCACCCAAAGUGAUUAUCGGCCAAUG
This is a long non-coding RNA of Thalassophryne amazonica, 411 nucleotides long. RefSeq lists it as uncharacterized. The transcript has 2 exons. The record is from RefSeq and is a predicted model, not a curated record. NCBI's taxonomy places the organism in Eukaryota, Metazoa, Chordata, Actinopteri, Batrachoidiformes, Batrachoididae.